This 1532-nucleotide long non-coding RNA is filed under the name Monodelphis domestica (gray short-tailed opossum). Its description in RNAcentral is "lncRNA (ENSMODG00000043241.1)". Lineage: Eukaryota; Metazoa; Chordata; Mammalia; Didelphimorphia; Didelphidae. The record is from RNAcentral.
GUUUCCUAAUAUUUUAUUCAACUUUUUGAAAGCUGGGGGCGACCCCAAAACUGCAUCCCACUCAGCACGAGACCUAGAAGCUGGGCUCUGUGGAUUGAGCCAGGCUUGAUCAGUUCCCACUCUGACCCCCUCUCAGGAACCUCAGGCCGGAAAAGGGGCGUCUCCGCUCCCCCCCCCCCCUUCCAAGAUAUCGCCUUCCGCGCCCCUAUACGCUUGGAAGAUUUCUCAAACUCAUUCAUUUGUAAAGUACAAUAAAAUCGAAAAUCUCCAAGAAGCUUGAUAAAAAAAAAAGGCAGACUAAUCACAACGCAGCAGCACCUAGACUCACGCCGGGGCUCCCGGGAGCCCACCCUGCUGGCUCCCUCCUGGAGCGGGCGGGAAGUUGGGCUCAGUCUUGUUCAUGCCCCCGCCCAGGGCCUUGGCGCCUGGAGCUCUAAGCCUGUUAGGGACAGAAUUCCUGUCCUUAAAUAUACAAGCAGAUAAUUGUUGGCGCGCUAGCUUUGUGUGAGGAGGCUGGGGGUGUAAAUGGCUUUUAAUGACUGCAGCUGUGGGUUGCGAGCUGUCAGUGCAAGUGGGUUAGCGCAGAGCCCCAGAGUCAGGCGGGGAGCUGGGCGCUGAGCCGCACGGAGACUUCCCCUCGCCACCGCAGUCCCUCAAGCCACCGAGUCCGGAGCCCCGGCAGAGUCCGACUCCCUAGGCUAGGGCCAGGACCAGAACUGAGCCCAGCAAGGCACAGCGCCCCCGGAAAAAGAAGAGAAAAAGAAAUCAUGUAGAGCCCCCAAGCUGCUGGCCCCUCGUUUCCCACGGCCCCCAGCGCUGCCUGCGGCCCUUCUCGCCUAGAAGAUCCGUCUUGGAACCUUUCUGUAUUCCUGUCGCUCGAAUUCCCGGGCUCCCUCAGCCAUGACCAUUCGGAGCUGCUUUACUACAGCUGGAAAUCCUUGCAGUCGGAGCCCAGAAGUUAGGGUGCCGGAGGUGGGGUUGGAGGAUUAAAUCCCCUCGGCGAGAGACCGAGGUGAAGGGACUGGUACCAAGCGGGCUGAGCAGAGGGCAGCGAGCUGGAGUCCAAAAGCGAAAACUUCAAACCUCCUUCAGGCAUCCUCCUGGGAACCUUCCAGAAGCCUUGAAUGUGUCCUUUUGGGGAGGGGGGCAUAGUUUUCAAUCUCGAGAGUGGAUGAAGGUGAGGUGUGUGUGUGUGUGUGUGUGUGUGUGUGUGUGUGUGUGUGUGUGUGUGUGUGUGUGUAUAGGUUUGCAAAACUACUGAAAACUCAGCGAACUUGAGCCGUGGAUGGGGCCGAAUCACCAUUCUUGUGGUACCUGAGCCGCCACAACGCAACACCCUCGGAAAGCUACCGCCCGAAUGGGAGUCGCAGCCCAAGCAGAGCCGGGCUAAAUCCGUGCCCCAGCGGACACGCGGAGGUAAAAGCCUUCUGUGUCCCAAGCAGCCUCCGCUCUCUUCGGGUUUUCUCCUCGUCUGUUCAGCCCAACAGCAACGACAACUGCUCCCAUGCCGAACGCAAAAUUAAACAUAAUUG